Molecule: ribosomal RNA, 1087 nt
Filed under: uncultured bacterium
Lineage: Bacteria
Description: bacterial SSU rRNA
Rfam family: Bacterial small subunit ribosomal RNA
Source: RNAcentral
GAGAGUUUGAUCCUGGCUCAGGAUAAACGCUGGCGGUGUACAUAAGACAUGCAAGUCGAACGGGAGAAGACAGGAAGAUUUAUCUACUUGUUGGACACCGUGGCGGACGGGUGAGUAACACGUAAGCAACCUGCCUAUAAGAGGGGAAUAACAGUGAGAAAUUACUGAUAAUACCGCAUAAGCUGAAGGUAUCGCAUGAUACAUUCAGAAAAGAUUUAUCGCUUAUAGAUGGGCUUGCGUCUGAUUAGCUAGUUGGUGAGAUAACAGCUCACCAAGGCGACGAUCAGUAGCCGGAUUGAGAGGUUGAACGGCCACAUUGGGACUGAGACACGGCCCAGACUCCUACGGGAGGCAGCAGUCGGGAAUAUUGCACAAUGGAGGAAACUCUGAUGCAGUGACACCGCGUAUAGGAAGAAGGUCUUAGGAUUGUAAGCUAUUAUCGUGUGAGAAGAAAAUGACCAUCACAGGAGGAAGCCCUGGCUAAAUAUGUGCCAGCAGCCGCGGUAAUACAUAUGGGGCGAGCGUUAUCCGGAUUUAUUGGGUGUAAAGGGUGCGUAGGCGGGAAAAUAAGUCAGUAUGUGAAAUCCCUCGGCUCAACUGAGGAACUGCAACUGAAACUAUUUUUCUUGAGUGUUGAAGGGGAAAGUGGAAUUCCUAGUGUAGCGGUGAAAUGCGUAGAGAUUAGGAGGAACACCAGUGGCGAAGGCGACUUUCUGGGCAACAACUGACGCUGAGGCACGAAAGUGUGGGGAGCAAACAGAUUAGAUACCCUGGUAGUCCACACCGUAACGAUGGAUACUAGAGUUGGCAAAAUAUUGUCGGUUCGCAGUACGCAUAAGUAUCCCACCUGGGGAGUACGACGCAGUAAACUCAAAGGAUGACGGGGCCCGCACAGCAGUGAGUAUGUGUAUCGAGCACGCGAGACUACAGCUGACAUAAUAGAUAUAUAGAGAUAUAGCCUACGAGUCUGAUACAGUGUGCAUGGUGUCGUCAGUCGUCUGGAGUAGUAGUCCGUACGAGGCCACUAGCUAGUGCUACUAGUAGACUACGACUGCUGUGACAGAGUGGGCACGCAAUAUCAUUGCGC